CCUCUGUGCUUGACAGUGACUGCCUCUGAAGGAGUUGGGAAGGUUCCCACUGUGGCUGUUGAAGUUGCAAAGGACACUUGGCUCCUGCAAUCCAUCAGUGGUCCAGCAUCUGUUUGUUGGGGAGUCCCAGAUACAACAUAGAACCUUCUCACCACCCUUCCUGGCCAUGAGGACUGUUACUCCUUCAGUGAGAACCCAGAACAGCUGAUCCCCAUGGAGAGGAAGAAUCAGGAGCUGAGCUUCCAUUUCUAAGGGAAGGUGGUUAGGGCAUGUGUGGAUGAUUAGGAGUUACUGCAGGAGGAUUACAGGGUGUGUAGAGGGGCAUGUCAGUCUCAGUAUUGUGGCUGGUUCCACCAUCUGGGGCUAAGGUUCUGUGUAGGGAACUGGUUCUUUCUGAGUUGACUGGGGGACUGAGAAGAUCCAGGACCCUUAAUUCUAUAGAUGGGUCAUUCCUUCCUGAGCCCACAGUCCUGUCCACAGGGUCACCUUGCAGAGCACUGUACUAAGUGCUUUGGGGAGUAGAAUGCAACUGAUGUAGUACACCUGUUGCCUACCACCCUCACUCAUCCACCUCAGCACAUC
This is a long non-coding RNA of Tachyglossus aculeatus (Australian echidna), 582 nucleotides long. RefSeq lists it as uncharacterized. Lineage: Eukaryota; Metazoa; Chordata; Mammalia; Monotremata; Tachyglossidae. The transcript has 4 exons. The record is from RefSeq and is a predicted model, not a curated record.